UACGUAGGGGGCAAGCGUUGUCCGGAAUUAUUGGGCGUAAAGAGCGUGUAGGCGGCCAGAUAAGUCCGCUGUGAAAUCUCGAGGCUCAACUUCGAGCUGUCGGUGGAAACUAUCUGGCUAGGGUCCGGAAGAGGAGAAUGGAAUUCCUGGUGUAGCGGUGAAAUGCGUAGAGAUCAGGAAGAACAUCGGUGGCGAAGGCGCUCUGCUGGACCAUAACUGACACUCAGGGACGAAAGCUAGGGGAGCGAAUGGG
RNAcentral lists this ribosomal RNA (253 nucleotides) under uncultured bacterium. RNAcentral describes it as "partial 16S ribosomal RNA". It matches the Rfam family "Bacterial small subunit ribosomal RNA", at positions 524 to 776 of the family's 1533-position model. The record is from RNAcentral.